UGGUGGAGCGAUUUGUCUGGUCAAUUCCGAUAACGAACGAGACUCUAGCCUACUAAAUAGUUCGGGGACCCCCACAAAGGGGCCCCGCUUCAACUUCUUAGAGGGACAGGUGGCGUUUAGCCACACGAGAUUAAGCAAUAACA
Molecule: ribosomal RNA, 143 nt
Filed under: uncultured eukaryote
Lineage: Eukaryota
Description: partial 18S ribosomal RNA
Rfam family: Eukaryotic small subunit ribosomal RNA
Source: RNAcentral